AUGUAAGCAUUUGCUAUUAUUGUUACUGUUGUUUUUGUCUAUUUUGUUAUAAAACAAAUAGGGUGAUAUGGUGGGAAAGGUAGUAUUUAGGGCUAACUAAGGCAGAAAGGCUAGAAACUUGCUUAAGUACACAGGACCUCCCUACCUCACUGUUCUCGCUUACAUCUAAAUCCCUUGCUGACAUUUAAGCCCCUUUCCUUUUGUUCUGCCCACAGGAGACAUGGAGAACAGCUGAUCAAUAUCUCCUCAUAAUAAUCCCCUGAACACCUGAAGACAGCUGUGAGAGCUUAAAGAUUUGCUGAGGCUAAUCUGAACACAGAAACCAGCUGCAACUUUAGGUCAGGGCGCAUUAAAAUGAGCCACUUCUGAACGAGCAGCGCCCAGGCCCCAGGCCCUGCUGUGAAGGCCCCGGCAAAGGUCAGGGCUUGGUCCGCGUGACGUUCCAGCCCGUGCUCAUCCAAGCGGUGCUCUGCCUCAGCAAAGGUAUCUGCCCUCCUAAAACAACAGGAAUGUUGCACUGGCCUUCAGCCAGCGAAGGCUCAGCGAGCAGGAUAAAAUUUCAAUGCAGAUUUACGGGAAGUUGCCGGUGCUGGGAGUAAAA
RNAcentral lists this long non-coding RNA (601 nucleotides) under Delphinapterus leucas (beluga whale). Its description in RNAcentral is "lncRNA (ENSDLEG00000013650.1)". The record is from RNAcentral. Lineage: Eukaryota; Metazoa; Chordata; Mammalia; Artiodactyla; Monodontidae.